GUGCUCACUUCAGCAGAACAUGUACUAAAACUAGAGAGAUGCAGAGAUUAGCAUGGCCCGUUCAUGAAGAUGACACAAUUUUGGGGAGUGCGCCAAAUUUCU
RNAcentral lists this small nuclear RNA (102 nucleotides) under Nannospalax galili (Upper Galilee mountains blind mole rat). The record is from RNAcentral. Lineage: Eukaryota; Metazoa; Chordata; Mammalia; Rodentia; Spalacidae.